This is a long non-coding RNA of Gallus gallus (chicken), 889 nucleotides long. RefSeq lists it as uncharacterized. The record is from RefSeq and is a predicted model, not a curated record. Lineage: Eukaryota; Metazoa; Chordata; Aves; Galliformes; Phasianidae. The transcript has 3 exons.
AAGGAAGGAAGGAAGGAAGGAGAGAUAGAGCAAAACUGGAAAAGAUACAGACAAGGGCAGCACUGCUGAUCAAAGGUGUGGGUGCCAUCUGUGCAAAAAGCAGUGGAGCAGACCAAGACUCUUGAGGAUGGGGAAGAGAUGGCCCAGAGAGAGAGUGACAAGGAGCGACCUCGGUGACUGAAAUAUAGAUCAAAGCUCCAGCCUAAGGCUGGUCGAAAGAAAAGGGAAGUGAAAAAAAACACUGAAAAAUGUAUCCUUGAGCUUAAAGAAUUCUUUCUCUUCUUGUUUUUUGACAUUUUUAUUUGAAGAUUUUCUGUCUCAUCCUGUAUUUAGCAUACCUUACAGUAUGUUUGAAAGAGGAGCAAAAGAGAGACACUAAACAAAAAAUGAUUUUACUUUCUUAUGUUACAACUGUACCAAUUUCUAAACCUGAAUAGUUUCAUUUUACAUGGGAGGAAGGAGGUGAUGACUUGCUGUGCUUGGUCUACCAUGUCUGUGCUGCUCACUAAUCUUUCUGAGACUAAUCUUGAUAAUCCUCAUAAAGACGUGAGUGAAGUCAUCAUGAUCAUCUGUGUUUGAUUUCCUUGAUUCUAAUUACAUUUGCGCUAUGUGCCAAUUGUGAGGAAAAACAUAUAAUUUAUCCUAUAAAUGCCAUAGUACCCGUAUUUUGGAUGCAAGGUCUACCAAUUAAAAUAUCACUUCACACCACUUGAAUACAUUAGAUAAACAAGUGCUGUCUUGUCUUAAAUACUGGAAUAGGGGAUCAUACUGGAUAUGAGUACAAUUGGAAAGUGAGCUGUUUCCAUAUAAUCUUUCUCUUGUAAACUCUCAAAGAUAUCUUUAUAUAAAGAGCUUUAUUUCAUGUAGUAAAUAAAUACCCUGCUCAACU